Molecule: non-coding RNA, 2405 nt
Organism: Podarcis lilfordi (Lilford's wall lizard)
Lineage: Eukaryota; Metazoa; Chordata; Lepidosauria; Squamata; Lacertidae
Source: the annotation of a GenBank genome assembly
UGUGAUUCUCCCAGGAGUGCACCAUGGAAGAUGUGCAUCACAGGUCUGAGUUUCCAUAAGUUUGGACGGUAUGCUUUUAGCCAAUGAAUGAAGUCAUGGCAAAGGCUGACAUUUGGGUAAGCAGACAGACCCAAUUAGACAAUGAGAAGGCUUGAGUAGGGUGCCCAUUGUCUGUGCUCCUUUCCUAUAAAAGUUAGUUGUAGAUGCCACAGGAAAGCCCAAUAUUAGCAUGGCCACAACUCAAAACACAGCAGGAGUUUUGGACUACAGCUCUCAUUAUUCUCUUCUAGUUUAUCUAAUGGACAAAGAUGAUGGAAAUUGUAUAGCAGCAACAUCUGGGGACUCAAGGUUGAAGAAUAGUCUAGGCUAACCAUCUGCAACCUGGUGUCCUCCAGAUGUUGUGGAUUUCGACUCCCAUCAGGUCCUGCCAGCAUGACCAACAAUCAGGGACAUGGAAGUAUGAACAGCAUACAGUGGUACCUCGGGUUACGAACGCUUUGGGUUACAAACAUUUUGGGUUACAAACUUCGCUAACCCGGAAAUAGUACCUCUGGUUGAAAACUUUGCUCCAGGAUGAGAACAGAAAUUGUGCGCAGGCGGUGCAGUGGCAGCAGGAGGCCCCAUUAGUGAAAGCACACCUCAGGUUAAGAAUUGUUUCGGGAUAAGAAUGGACCUCCGAAACGAAUUAAGUUUGUAACCAGAGGUACCACUGUACUCUUUUGUAUAUAUGUACAUAUGUAUGUAUGUACAUGCACGCACGCAUGCACGUAUACACACACACCACAUACCAGACUUCUUCCUGGGACCUGAAAUUGUCCCAGGAAGGACAACUGCUGCUCCAGUUUUGUACUGUGUUGGUUCCAUAGCUGUCAACUUUCAGAUUUGAAAAUAAGGGAUCAGCAGCCUCAAAAAUAAGGGAUCAGCUCCCUCACCUGUCCCAGGGACAGUCUAUGGGAUAUCUAACAAUCCGGGAUAGCAGCGGGAAGCAGCGGGAAACGGCGCUGGAAUAAGGGAAUUUCCUGCAAAAAAAGGGAAGGUUGGCAGCUAUGGUUGGUUCUGGCUAACAUGGGUCUGAUGGUUGGAGAGCACUUUGGCAACAGAGACAAUUUGGACCAAUAGAAAACAGAGCAACAAACAGGAAGAGCUAGUCCAUCCAGCAUGUCAUCUCCUUGUCCCACCAUCUUUGACCCAGGUCCAAUCUGACCCUGCAAUGGUGGCAGGUGGCAUCAUUGUCAUUAUUCUGCUGGUGCCACUGCAGCUGCCAUGAGCAGUGAAGAAGAGAGUACUAAGGCAUUCACCAGACUUUGCUCUCACCACCACCACUACUCUGCCAUGUGGCCCAUGGGAAGCUCCAAGGCAGGGAAGUAAUCAGGAGUGGCAAAGGAAGAAUUUGCAUUUUUCCUCCCACUGUUGGAAACAUACAGUGCUAUGGGCCAAUCCCUGGUGUGCCUGCAAGUGUUCUGUAUCCAUGCACAGAAUAAUAAAACAAAAAUUAAUUUUAAACAAAUGCAUUCACUUAAUUAAACAAAUGAAAUUAAUUAUUAAUUUUAAAUACCCAAUCUUUUCUUCCUGCCUUCAGGUGCUUUUUGUGAGGGAGAGACUAGAAAACAAAAUUUCAGCUACAUGCCCUUCUACAUAAGCAAACAUUAAAGAAGAAUAGCCUGUUUUCCAGUUGCAGGCAAAUUUAAGAUUCUGAUAGUCUAGCCAAUAAGUGGAACAUAGUGAAUUCUGUAACUUAAAUGUUAAUGGCCACUAGAAUGUGCUUCAUCAUUGGGCUUCAGGCUUUUUUUUAGCCUGAUGCUACUGGUAAGACAGUUCCUGAAGUCUACUUUGUAUAAUUCCUAACUUGAUUGGCCUUUGCAGCAGGGCUAGUUGGCUUAUUAAGAACACACUAAUUGAAGAAUUCUUGUCAUCCAUCAACUGACUGUCUCAGAGGGUAGGCCACUGAUCAUUGGGUUAACUAGGAUCUAUUGAACACAGCUUAGCAUUGUUAAAUCAGUGAACAGCUUAUUAUUAAACCACAGAAUAGCCACAGAACAGUAUGGCAGACAGUAGCAGACAAGGGGAAAGAGGGAUGAUUAAGAAGAGAGUACUAAUACAUUGAAAAGUAGGAAAGCCACCCACACCACUGAGCAGCCUUCAAUGACUGCCAACUUGAGAGCUUUUAAAGAGGUGUUAGAACUCUGGUAAACCUAAAGUCAGAAUAAGAAAAGUUGGAAGAAAUAAGUCUCACAGUCCUCUGUUAUUAUAGUGCUGUACUGGUUUGUUCUCUCUUUUCCAGGGUGUAGAUUGGUGCUGCAGGCCUGCAUGCGACCGGAGAGAGGACAACAUCAGCAUCAUGCAUUGUCUGGGGAGAGAGAUCUUCAAGAUUUAAGGACAAGGGACAGGGAUCUGUUAAAAAGGGC